GUUAGGAAUAUUGGACAAUGGGCGCAAGCCUGAUCCAGCCAUGCCGCGUGAGUGAUGAAGGCCUUCGGGUUGUAAAGCUCUUCAGCCGAUGAUUAUAAUGACUGUAGUCGGAAAAUAAGCCCCGGCUAACUUCGUGCCAGCAGCCGCGGUAACACGAAUGGGGCGAGCGUUAUUCGGAAUCACUGGGCGUAAAGCGUUCGUAGGCGUCUUUGCAAGUUGGGAGUGAAAGCCCAGGGCUCAACCCUGGAAUUGCUCUCAAAACUGCAAGGCUCGAAUUCGGGAGAGGAUAGCGGAAUUGUCAGUGUAGCAGUGAAAUGCGUAGAUAUUGACAGGAACACCAGUGGCGUAAGCGGCUAUCUGGACCGAUAUUGACGCUGAGGCACGAAAGCGUGGGGAUCAAACAGGAUUAGAAACCCGAGUAGUCC
This 425-nucleotide ribosomal RNA is filed under the name uncultured bacterium. RNAcentral describes it as "partial 16S ribosomal RNA". It matches the Rfam family "Bacterial small subunit ribosomal RNA", at positions 354 to 796 of the family's 1533-position model. The record is from RNAcentral.